GUCUCUGGCUAUACCAUCCUGUAUACACCUGAUCAUUUCAGAUCUUGGAAGCGAAGCAGAGUCUGCCCUGGUUAUUACUUGGGUGGGAGAUGCUUAAAUACUUUACAUGGACCAUAGUCC
This 120-nucleotide ribosomal RNA is filed under the name Microtus ochrogaster (prairie vole). Lineage: Eukaryota; Metazoa; Chordata; Mammalia; Rodentia; Cricetidae. The record is from RNAcentral.